RNAcentral lists this microRNA precursor (62 nucleotides) under Macaca mulatta (Rhesus monkey). Its description in RNAcentral is "Mml-Mir-550-P2_pre stem-loop". Lineage: Eukaryota; Metazoa; Chordata; Mammalia; Primates; Cercopithecidae. The record is from RNAcentral.
AGUGCCUGAGGGGGUAAGAGCCCUGUUGUUGUAAGAUAGUGUCUUACUCCCUCAGGCACAUC